CAGCUCGCAAGGAACUGGAAAUUUUGAUGCAGACUCCAUGGGAAUGCCUCCUAUCACACUACGAGUUUAUGAUAGUGUUCUCCUUCUUCCAGCGCAACACGGUUUUCUACUCUAAAGUGGAUGAGGGUCAACUCAAAACCCUAUACAGCCAACUGGUGUCCUUCUCCCCUGCGCGGAUACUCAUAAUAGAUGCCCUGAUUGCCGUCUAUAACAAAAGCAAAGCUCUCAGUGAGAACGCAGGUGACUCACUCGCCGUUCCUAGCGAGUUGUCCAGGGCUAUAACGCUGGCGUUAGGCAACAGCGUCCCAGAGCAUUACAUACACGAUUGCAUUUCGAGGUGCGAGUGGAAGACGUACUGCAGCAUGGUGCUUGGAGCGUUCGCUUCGGCUGAUGCAAUUCGCAGUGGAGCCCUCAAGUACGUGGCUAUCCUGAAGGAGAGCACUCGCAGUAGACGCUCCCUGCACACUAUCGUCUCUCUGGCCAUCACCGGGUGGACGGUGGAGCUCUCGGACCCGCCGAACAACACAAAGUGUACGUGCGGCAUCUGGGCCCAGGCCCUCGAGCUGAUUUCGUGCUUUGUGCCCGACGCGGAAACCAACUUGACGAUCCAGGACGAGACACGCAUAGAAGCUUACAUUUGCACUCUGUUAGACUUAAACCCCCCUCCUCAGUGCGUUGAUGGGGGCGGUGAUGGUGAAAAACACAGACCCUUGGAUUACGAAUACAUGUUUAGCAACCUGCGCGCGUCCGGCUUAGCCGCUGCUGAAAAUGACACGGACGAGGAGUAAAAUAAAUAAAAAGUAAUAAACAAGAGACCGCUCGCUCACCACUAGAUUGCCGCCCGCCAGCUCCACAGCACAGCACACGCCGGCGCAGGACCUGGAGCCGCCUCCGAAGGUUGGGUCGAGACACAGAUAGGCUCUGACCAUGGGUGCACGGGUCAUGUAUUCCAGAGUGAUGCUGUUAUUUGAGAGAAACUUGUUUAUGACCGAGGCCUCGAAGGGAGAGGUGUUGUCGGUCUUGGUGUCUGCCGAAGAUGUGCUGC
Molecule: long non-coding RNA, 1045 nt
Filed under: Betta splendens (Siamese fighting fish)
Lineage: Eukaryota; Metazoa; Chordata; Actinopteri; Anabantiformes; Osphronemidae
Description: lncRNA (ENSBSLG00000017785.1)
Source: RNAcentral